UAAGAGGAAAUGCUUAGUGAUUGACUGUACCUAUUGAAUAAGUAACGGCAAACUAUGUGCCAGCAGCCGCGGUAAUACAUAGGUUACAAGCGUUAUCCGGAUUUACUGGGCGUAAAGCGAGCGCAGGCUGAUUAACAAGUCUAGUGUGAAAUGCAGUUGCUUAACAACUGUUUGCAUUGGAAACUGUUAGUCUGGAGUGUGAUAGGGAGUUCUGGAACUCCAUAUGGAGCGGUGGAAUGCGUAGAUAUAUGGAAGAACACCUGUGGCGAAAGCGAGAACUUAGGUCACAACUGACGCUUAGGCUCGAAAGUGUGGGGAGCAAAUAGGAUUAGAUACCCUAGUAGUCCACGCCGUAAACGAUGGUUAUUAGUUGUUGGUACGAAGUACUAGUAACGAAGCUAACGCAUUAAAUAACCCGCCUGGGUAGUACAUUCGCAAGAAUGAAACUCAAACGGAAUUGACGGGGACCCGCACAAGUGGUGGAGCAUGUUGUUUAAUUCGACAGAAAACC
Molecule: ribosomal RNA, 511 nt
Filed under: uncultured bacterium
Lineage: Bacteria
Description: bacterial SSU rRNA
Rfam family: Bacterial small subunit ribosomal RNA
Source: RNAcentral